GGAAUCUGGCGCGGCCUUUGUCUCACUUCAGCCCGAGCGCGGGGUUAGGGCUUCAUUGCCUUGUGUCUUCUGCUCCGGGAGACUUCGGUGAUUCUGCCACUCACUCCGUCGCUCUGUGACCUGCUGGCAUUGAAUGAUUUAUAGCUAAGACUCCAGGACACCCCUGAAGCCGAGAAAUGUGGAAAAGCGAGAUUUUCUUUGACCAUUGGCUAUGGACAUUGUCAGGGAUGGUGCAGCCUGAAUGAGAAUGUCUGCAGUAUUUCCUGAAAUAAGUAUCCCUCAAGGAUGAUACUGUGGACCUCACUCAGGAAGAAUGUGUCCUUCAGAGAAAGCUGCGCAGAGACGUGGUGCUGGAGAAGCAGUCAUCUGGUUACUUUGGGUUUGUGCCCCAGGAAGUAGUGUGUUGAUUUGAAGCCCUAAAAAAAAUAUUUUCCACACUCAAGAGUGACUUAUCCAGACCGAUUUUACCUAAGAAACAAGCCUGAAGGAGGAGAGAGAAGAAAGAAGAGUCAGAACUAGCACUUUCCCAGCAUGAAUGAGAGAUCCUUUCGCUUCACAUCUUUGCCAGCAUUUGGUGUUGUCAGUGUUCUAGAUUUUGGCCAUUAUAGUACAUGACUUCAGGCUCCUAUGUGCAGAAGUCCUCAACCCCCAGGCUGCAGACCAGUACCUGUCCAUGGCCUGUUAGGAAACUGGCCGCACAGCAGGAGGUGAAAUGAUUAUUGCAGUUUUGAGGGGAGAUGAUGUCACAAGAUCUCGAACCCAUAUCUCAGAACUGCCUGCCUCCUCCCACACACUCUGGCUGUCCUGACCAUCACUUCAAGCCCACCAGCCCUGCAGCAAAAAAAAUCAAACGAGUAGUUCAGAAGGCAAAGUCUGCAAGGGAAGGAAGUGUAUUGGGAGGUACAGUAAGUACUCCUGUCUGGAGAAGGUCUUCUUUGGGGCUAGAAACUGAGCCAGUGCUAAAGCCAUGCAGGAAGGAGGAAAUAAUCAGUGAGCCACGGGCUGAACUUGUGGAGAAGAAAUGGAGGGCAAGGUCACAAACCAGUCCCUAACUGCUUCUAAUUUAAUGUAAUCCUCACUGUUUGUCAUUAUUGCUUUUGAUGGCCAUGAAAUCUGUUUUUUUCCCAGUUCUCUAGUGUAAUUUGGAAUUAAUUUCCCAGCUGCUUUAUUUUUUUUCUAGAAGAGUCAGGGACAUUUUCAGGAUUAGUAGAGGUGUUUCUACAACACCUUCAUGCCUUCGAUAAUGUGUAAGAGUUCACCAAUUGAAUUACCUUAUUCUGUUCAGAAGUAGUAACUAUAGAGUUUAACCACUCUGGACAUAUUAUAUACUUAAUGGAGACCAUAGCUGUGUGGUGACUGAAAACAUGCAUUGUCUACUCCUUAUGGUGAGACUGCUUUCCUUCAUGAAGUCAGUAAAGAAGGGUAACUUUUCUGUAGAUUUUUGUAUUUUUAAAAAAGGUCAAGAUCUUCGGCAGUUUUCUGAAUUGAAUUGUUUGUGAUAUUUGCUCUGUUUUUAAAAUGUUCUAAGGCCAUUACCAGGUUCAGUGCUUAUCUUAGUACAAUUUAAAUUGAUUCCGUGAAUAAUUUUUCCUGCCUCCAGUUUCCCUUUUACAUAGUGGGCUCAUGUUUUAAUAUGUUAAACAAUUCUGACAUUGAAAUAAUUUUAUUUUAUAUUUUUGCAUUCACAAAUACUAAUUUUCUCCAUAUAUUAAUGGUGAUGUAGUUUCUCCUCGGCAAUAUUUUAUUGCCUACUCAUGUUUUAUGUCCCCUGGAUUACAGCACUGUCAUUCCACUGUGCCCUAUUUCUUGGUUAUGAUGAAAAGACUCUUAAUUCCAGUAUGAAAUCAUUUCUGCAUUCCAUAAAUUUCAUUUGGCAUCUGUGGAAUUAAGGCAUCUUCAUUGUAUUUGGAUCUCUGAAUCAUAAGUGAUAUUUGCCUAUAAAUUAAGCAAUGAUAUUUAAAUAAGAGAUUACCACAAUCAUAUUUUAUAAAUAUACAACCAUUUUUAAAAACCUGACAAAAUCUACAAAAAAAAGAAAAUGAAAUAUAUGUGGAGUUUUAGAAAAGACUGACUAGGUCCAAGGUUGAGGCACAUAGUGGUUAAGCACAUUGUCAGCUCCGGACUCUGCCUCUUACAAGGAAGGAGGGGGCUUUAGAUGUUAUUUAGCUGUUAUUUAGCCUUUCUACACCUAAGUUCCCCUCACCUGUAAAAAAAACAAUAAUAAUAAAUUGCUUACUUUGUAGAAUCAUUGUAAAUGUUCUAUGUAAAAUAUGAAUAUAGUACUCACAGUAAAGAUGUGUGUGUGUGGUGUGUGGUGUGUAGUUCAGCAAUAGAAAAUGGAAUUUAAUAAGAACGUUAUGAGUUGAAAACAAUGGUAUGUGGACAAUAUUGAAUUUCAGUUGCCAAAAUAAAAUAGACCUCAUGUUUCCCUUCAGGAUCCUCUAACUCUGAAUAUGAAUAGAAGUAUCAGUCACUGGAAAAGAACAAAUGUCCUCUAGGGAUGUGGCAAUAGGAAUAAUCUUAUCUCAGACCAUAAUUGGGUUCCUGAUGAAAAUAUUUUUUCUUUAGCAUUGUAUUUCUCUUUAUUUCACCAAAUGCACAUUAAGGUCUACAGAUCUGAUUCUCAAACACCUGGCUGUAGCCACCUCCUUUGUGAUACUUUAUAAAGGAGUCCCACAGAGAGUGCCUGCUUUUGGGUUGAAACAUUUUCUCAAUAAUAAUUAGGUACAAACUUGUUUUCUAUGUUCACAAAGUGGGCAGGGCUGUGUGCAUUGGCACCACUUGCCUUUUGAAUAUCUUCCAGGCCAUCACAGUCAGCCCCAUGUACUCCUGCUGGGCAGACCUGAAACUACAGGCUCCCAAAUAGAAUGGGUGCUCCAACAUCCUCUGCUGGAUUGUGAUAUGCUGGUAACCGCAUGUGACUGGCAAGUGGAAUGGCGAAAACAACACAAAGAAGGAUUUGGUUACUGUUCUGCAGUAGUUAAUAACUGAUAUGGUUUGGCUAUGUCCCCACUCAAACCUCAUCUUGAAUUCCUAUGUGUUGUGGGAGGAACUUGGUGGGAGGUGAUUGAAUUAUGGGGGCAGGUCUUUUCUGUAUUGUUCUCGGGAUGGUGAAUGAGUCUCAUGAGACCUGAUGGUUUUAAAAACAGGAGUUUCCCUGUACAAGCUCUCUCUUUGCCUGCUCCCAUCCAUGUAAGACCUGACUUGCUCCUGUUUACCUUCCGCCAUGAUUGUGAGGCCUCCCCAACCAUGUGGAACUGAAAGUUUGUUAAACCUUUUUUUCUUCCCAGUCUUGGGUAUGUGUUUAUCAGCAAUGUGAAAAAAAAUGGACUAAUACAGCAAAGUGGUAUCAGUAGAGUGGGGUGCUGCUGAAAAGAUACCCAAAAAUUUGGAAGCGACUUUGGAACUGGGUAACAGGGAAAGGUUGGAAUACUUGAGAUGGCUCAAAAGAAGAAAGGAAAAUGUGGGAAAGUUUGGAACUUCCUAGAGACUUGUUGAAUGGUUUUACCCAAAAUGCUGAUAGCAAUGUGGACAAUAAAGUCCAGGCUAAGGUGGUCUCAGAUGGAGAUGAGGAACUUGUUGGAAACUGGAGCAAAGGUGACUCUCGUUAUGUUUUAGCAAAGAGACUGAUGGUAUUUUGCCCCUGCCCUAGAGAUUUGUGGAACUUUGAACUUGAGAGAGAUGAUUUAGGGUAUCUGGCAGAAGAAAUUUCUAAGCAGCAAAGCAUUCAAGAGGUGACUUGGGUGCUGUUAAAGGCAUUCAUUUUUUAAAUCAAUACCUCCUGAAGUCCUCCUGAGAGCGCCAGAUAUGCAUUCGGGCCGCAUGGGGCAGAAAAGGAGGGCUCCAUCACUCCCUGCUGGCCAUCAGGGUGCAGUGCAGGACACUCAGAGCUCAAUACUUAGUUGUUUCCCAGUGCCCCCUGCUAGACCUCCUACUGAAUCCUGAAAUUCUCAAUUUCUUGAUCUGUCUGCUCCUUUGGAUGAAUAUGCGUCAAAUCCACGGGAGCAUCACAAAAGGAUUCUUUCUCAGUCAUGCCUGUGUGAUAGGACCUUCUUCCAGUUUCUUUCAAAAAUUGAAAAAAUCAUCUGAACGAUGCAGUCUACACUUCUAUCCUCAGACUCUGCUGCAGAGCUUCAUCCUGCAGGACACAGAUGACUACAGGGCUGUUUGAGAUGGAAUCUUCCUUUCUAAAUCUUCUAGGCUUGAUCACAGUCACAAAUGAGCAGAGCAGAUGAAAGUGAAAAAUCUUCUGGCUUGUCCCUAUUUGGGGAGAGCUCUCCAGAAGUAUUUUCAAGAAAUUAGUAGCUAUUCGAGGGAGUGAAAUACAGCUGGUUUGCCUUCGAGAAAGGAAAGUGAAGUGUGCUUUUGUUUCCUCUCAUUUAACAGUUGCAAAAGGCAAAUUAGAAAAUAGGAAUACUCAUGACACUUUCUUAUAAAUACUGCUAAACAAAAUAAUCUGCAUUCAUAUUUUUGUACUGGUAAAAUAUCUGAAAGCAAAAUCAUGGGAAGAUAUUUAAGUAUAUUAUACAUCAUGAAUUUCAAAAACAGAGUGAAGAUCAUGAUACAGGUUUCUUAUAUGAAUAACUGUAUGGUUUAUAUUUUCCUUCACCUUUUGAAAUACUCAGGAAAUGUUUGUUGUACACAGAAUUUGAAUAAAAAUUGUCCAGGCCAGGUGCAGUGGCUCACGCCUAUAAUCCCAGCACUUUGGGAGGCCAAGGCAGGCAGAUCACCUGAGGUCAGAAGUUCAAGACCAGCCUGACCAAUAUGGUGAAACCUUGCCUCUACUAAAAAUGCAAACAUUAGCUGGGCAUGAUGGCGAGUGCCUGUAGUCCCAGCUACUUGAGAGGCUGAGAUAGGAGAAUUGCUUGAACCCAGGAGGUGGGGGUUGCAGUGAGCCAAGAUUGUGCCACUGCACUCCAGCCUGGGUGACAGAGUGAGACUUCAUCUCAAAAUAAAUAAAUAAAUAAAUAAAUAUAAAAAUAAAAAUUUCCAUGCAAACUUUUCUUCAAUAUAUUUUUGUUACAGUUAACGUAAAAUUAGCUGUUGUAAUAGACAAACCUGAAUUUAUCAGCAGUUUGAUCAUCAUGUAAUAUUUAUCAUUGCUGGCAUAUACCACCUCAACACAGGCUUUCAAAUGUCAUGUGACUCUGCUUGUGGAUUUUCCUCCAAAUAUGGAUUUAGGGACCCCCAUACCUUCUAUUGGUGUAUUUCUCAUUGCUAACCUGUGUCUUCAAAUCUGGCUAUGGUGCUUGGGAAAAUUUCAUGCAGUUGUAUGGCAAAAAAUAUUUGGGGCUUCACAGAGGAUGUUUUCACAGGUCAGGCCUGUACCAGGUAAAUGUCGUUUCCACCCACUCAGCUAGGAUGCUUGUAUGGCCAGACCUCAGAACAAAAAGCCUGGGGAAGGGAGUCUUGAACUGUGAGACCAGCGGGAAUACAAGAUUGGUCUGGUGAAUAAGACCACUGUUUUUCUUACACUAUGUGAAAAAAAUGCUGUUAAUGUGAGCAACAGCCGGUUUUCCUGCUUUCAUACAUUUAUGCAAGAAAAUGUGACUUAAAAUCUAAUUCCACAGAUUAAACCUAGAGAAUAUAUUUCAGGGAAGAGGGCAAAAAGGUCAAUCAAUAAGGCUCACACUGUUGACCAUCUGAAAGGGGAUUCCCAUUGAAUCCCAAAAGCACAGAGUAGAGUUGAAAUAUUCCCUAGACAAGUGUUGUAAAAAAAAAAUGAAAGUACAUUACAUAUGUAGGAACAUUUAGAUAUGAACUGACACUAGUGCCAACACUCAGUCACCACGAGAGGCCCUCAAGCAUCCAGGAUAGCCUGUUCUUCCCUCAGCAUAACCAUAAUGUAACAAGCUAACCUUUUCACAAAGGGUGGCUAUGAUUAUAAACCGAGUAUCAGUAAUGAGUUAACACAGGCAACGAUAAUAUCCUGCUACUGUAACUUAAAAACGUGUUUUUAUGUCCAUCAAAAUCAAGUAGUGAUUGUGCAUAAAAUUUUGUAAUAUUUAAGGGUUAGGUAUCCAUCAAACAUGUUACAGACCAGGCAGUUACUCCAGAAAUACCUUUAAAAGGAGAGAAUUAUUGCAAACCACAUAAGAUAUUUAGUCUGCAUUAGGAAAUGAAAAUGCAAGAAACAUUCUGCAAUGUGGAAUGAACAAAUAUGAUUCCUUAAAAUGCAUAAAACUCAGCAAGGACAGAAAACCACGCUGUUUCUCCACUGUGCUGUAAACACAGUGGUCAACAAAACCACAUUAACAUUUUGCCAUGCCUUUGUCAAUAACUUUUCUUGGCAGCCUCAGAUAUAGCCUUCACUUGCAAGACAAGUUGAAAGGGUCUUGUAACAUCUUUCUCUUUUGAAAACCAAUUUAUCAAAAUGAAAACCUUUUAUUGUUGAUUUCACCAUAAAGUUAGUAGAAUCUCAGAAAAGAUACAGAUAAUGCAUAUGUGUCUGAGAAAGAGCUCCUGUAAAGCCCAACACCAAAUACAGGUCAUAUCAUAGAAGUAUUGGUGUCCUGCAUUUUGCUCUUGUAAUUAUACCUGCGUUUAUUACUCUGGGGAGAUUCUCAGGACCAGCAUUGCUGCAUUUUGCUUUUCUAUAUUUUAAUUGUUAAUAGAUAUUGUUUGGUUGCCAACCCCUAAAUGUGGAACACUUUAUAAUCGUAAUAUGCAAGGUAUGAGAACACAGUACUUCUUUCAUCAUCUGUGAUGUAUGAUUAUUCACCCUAAUUUUCUUGAGUCUGAGCAGUUUAACGGAGGUAUAUUUUUAUUAGUUCACUAUUGUUUAAAUUUCUUGUCUUUUCAUGCUAAAAGGAAAGUUGAUAUUUAUCUAUAUCUAUGUCUGUAUAUGCAUGUAUAUCUAUAGAAAUAGAUCCAUUUGUUUGAAGAACCCUCUGUAAUUAAUUGUGAUGAAUUAUGCCUGUUUUAGAAAGUAUUUUGUACACAUAUUUUUAAUAAAAAUUUUCCCCCCGAAUAUUUAACCAAUAUGACAUUAAAAGAGUCAGGAAUUUGUCUCUCACUUUAUUUUCUUUUUGUGGAUCACCAAUUAUUUUUGGAUUAUUCAUUAAAUAAAGAAUCCUCUCACUGAGGUUAAAUCU
This 7094-nucleotide small RNA is filed under the name Pan troglodytes (chimpanzee). Its description in RNAcentral is "processed transcript". The record is from RNAcentral. Lineage: Eukaryota; Metazoa; Chordata; Mammalia; Primates; Hominidae.